GACGAACGCUGGCGGCGUGCUUAAUGAAUGCGAGUCGAGCGAGAACCGGACUGAGGAAACCUUCGGGUGGAAUCAGUCUGGGGAGAGCGGCAAACGGGUGAGUAACACGUGGGUAACCUGCCCCUCAGACGGGGAUAAUUCGCCGAAAGGCGGACUAAUACCCGAUGGUGAUGUGCCAACACAUGUUGAUACAUCUAAAGGCUCCGGUGCUGAGGGAGGGGUCCGCGGCCGAUUAGCUUGUUGGUAGGGUAACGGCCUACCAAGGCUUCGAUCGGUAGCCGGUCUGAGAGGAUGACCGGUCACACUGGGACUGAGACAUGGUCCAGACUCCUACGGGAGUUAGCAUCAGGGAAUCUUGCGCAAUGGGCGAAAGCCUGACGCAGCGACGCCGCGUGGGUGAUGAAGGCCUGCGGGUCGUAAAGCCCUGUCGGGAGGGAAGAAACAGCACCUUCGGGUGCUUUGACUGUACCUCCGGAGGAAGCCCCGGCUAAUUACGUGCCAGCAGCCGCGGUAAUACGUAAGGGGCCAGCGUUGUCCGGAAUUACUGGGCGUAAAGAGCACGUAGGCGGUUAGGAAAGCGAUAGGUGAAAUCCCCCGGCUCAACCGAGGAACUGCUUAUCGAACUGCCUGACUAGAGCACGGGAGAGGGCACUGGAAUUCCUGGUGUAGCGGUGGAAUGCGUAUAUAUCAGGAGGAACACCGGUGGCGAAGGCUGGUGCCUGGAACGUUGCUGACGCUAAGGUGCGAAAGCCAGGGGAACAAACGGGAUUAGAUACCCCGGUAGUCCUGGCCGUAAACGAUGGACACUAGGUGUUGGAGGUUCGACCCCUUCAGUGCUGUUAAGCUAACGCGUUAAGUGUCCCGCCUGGGGAGUACGGUCGCAAGGCUGAAACUCAAAGGAAUUGACGGGGGCCCGCACAAGCGGUGGAGCAUGUGGGUCAAUGGGAUGAUACGCCGAGAACCUUACCAGGGCUUGACAUGACCCUGAUCCCCUGCGAAAGCAGGUCUUCUGGGCAACCAGACAGGGCCACAGGUGGUGCAUGGUUGUCGACAGCUCGUGUCGUGAGAUGUUGGGUUAAGUCCCGCAACGAGCGCAACCCUCGCCGGAUGUUGCCAGCGGUUAGGCCGGGCACUCUUCCGGGACUGCCGGAGUAAUCCGGAGGAAGGGGGGGAUGACGUCAAAUCUGCAUGCCCCUUAUGUCCUGGGCUGCACACGUGCUACAAUGGCGAGUACAAAGGGUCGCGAAGCCGCGAGGCCCAGCUAAUCCCCAAAAACUCGUCCCAGUUCGGAUUGGAGUCUGCAACUCGACUCCAUGAAGUCGGAAUCGCUAGUAACCGUGGAUCAGCAAUGCCGCGGUGAAUACGUUCCCGGGCCUUGUACACACCGCCCGUCAAGUCACGGAAGCCGACAGCACCCCAAGUCCGCUACGGCGGCCCAAGGUGAGGUCAGUGACUGGG
Molecule: ribosomal RNA, 1458 nt
Filed under: uncultured bacterium
Lineage: Bacteria
Description: 16S ribosomal RNA
Rfam family: Bacterial small subunit ribosomal RNA
Source: RNAcentral